RNAcentral lists this ribosomal RNA (495 nucleotides) under uncultured bacterium. RNAcentral describes it as "partial 16S ribosomal RNA". It matches the Rfam family "Bacterial small subunit ribosomal RNA", at positions 28 to 523 of the family's 1533-position model. The record is from RNAcentral.
GAUGAACGCUGGCGGCGUGUCUAACACAUGCAAGUCGAACGACGCACUCUAGCUUGAUUCUUCGGAUGAAGGCUACUGUGACUGAGUGGCUGACGGGUGAGUAACGCGUGGGUAACCUGCCUCAUACAGGGGGACAACCGUUCGAAAUGACUGCUAAUACCGCAGACGACCAAGGAGUCCCAUGGCUCAGCUGGAAAAACUCCGGUGGUAUGAGAGGGACCCGAGUCUGAGUAGGUAGUUGGUGGGGUAACGGCCUACCAAGCCGACGAUCAGUAGACGACCUGAGAGGGUGACCGGCCACAUUGGGACUGAGACACGGCCCAAUCUCCUACGGGAGGCAGCAGUGGGGAAUAUUGCACAAUGCGGGAAACCCUGAUGCAGCGACGCCGCGUGAGCGAAGAAGUAUUUCGGUAUGUAAAGCUCUAUCAGCAGGGAAGAAAAUGACGGUACCUGACUAGGAAGCACCGGCUAAAUACGUGCCAGCCGCCGCCGUAA